GUCGGUCUAAGUUCCACGUGACGCGUGAACCGCGAUAUCGAUUUCCGUUAUCGUGAAAUGACAACUACGUCGCGCGCGAAGGCGGUCAGCGUUUCCGAUGAUCGUCGGGCGUCACGAUGACAGCAGCUCGUUACAGCGCGCGCAACAAUGGCGAACGAUCGCGUCGCUCGCGCUCGCGUCAGCGUUUUACCGCGCAUAGUUUGUGCGUACGGUAACAACGUCGGAUCGCUUUAUGGUGUCGCAGGAUCGGUGUAUAACUUCGUCCUCGUCCUCGUUCAUCUCGGCCACGUCCUCCCCGUGGAUUUGAAGGACGGUCGCGGUCACUUUUUCUUUGUCGCAUCGCCCUCAUCUCGCAAGGGACGUUGCUCGCUGCUCCGAUCGUGUUUACGAGACACCGUGAAUCGUGAUCAACGGGUUCCAUGCUCCUGGCAGCAGGAGCCUUUCUCUCGUUCGGUGUCUAUCAAAGGUGGAACGAGAGCGCGAGCGUCUCCUGGGGGGACCGGGAUUCUCUGUCAAUAUCCCGAAGUGAGUAUACAGGCUUCCGGGGCGGUCGCGGCGCGUGAAAUCGUUCCCCGCGGCCCCGUCGCCGUCACCUCGGCAUCGUGUUUUUUAAUCUUUUCAUUUUUGUCGGACACUGCGUUUAACAUACAUAACAUCAUAUCGACACACGUAAGCGUAGUCCACUAUAGCUGUGGUAAUUAGUAUAUGUAGUUAUUAGUAGUAUAUGCUGUCCGGAGAGGGCGAAAGGAGUGACCUCGAUGACGCGUUCGGCGGCGAUUCGCUAAAGUAUUUCAAGGUCAGGGGCGACUGCAGAUGUCUAUGUCGGAUCACCUCUCGCUCAGCAGGCAGCGGCCACAGUUCCUGCGCAAUCAGCGGAUAAGUCUAUUCAGAUUUUUAUUACACACUGCGGUGGGUGGGGUAUCGGGAAUAAAAGACAUAUAGCGAAUUGUUCGUUGAGAUAGCGACAACUUUGGAAAGUACAUUGUUUGCUUUAUUUGUCAUUGAUACAGUUGGAAAGGAGGGAAAUGAUGUUUCACUGAAUCGCUUCAUGGAUCAACCCUUUAACCUGUUACCUUUGCCAGUAUACGAGGAAGAGGAGCUUAUAUAAUAAUUGUACGAUUAACAUUGGAGGAUAGUAUCCAGAAAACUGGACGCCAUCUGGACGAUGCGGGUGAACAUAAACGACGAGUUUUCUUGUUUUCCUCCAGUUAACAGGUUAAGGACCACUUGGGCACGCUCGACUAUUUCUUUGUGAUACGAGAGAGCCUCGUCUCAGGACUCACCCUGCUUAUUUCUACGUCCAGUCAGAGAGCCAACUAGAGACUGCAGAGUGGUGCCCAGUCUUCUCUCCUUCGGAUUGUUCAGUUUGGUGGCGUGUUUAAAGCCCAGCGGGUGUGCGUCUAAGCAUUUCUGAUACCUCAGCUGUAUACGGAAAGAAGGAAUCGGAUUUCAGUCAAUAAUCGAGGCCCCGCUGCUGGGCUCGCAGUUGAAGACGUGUGCGAAGAAGAGAUUUUGCGCGGUGUGCAUUAUAAAAGCGCACUGUUUCACGUUCCGGCCAAUACCGAGGAACGACAAGUAACGUACUCGACACUCGGUGAUACUCUCCUCCUAGAAAAUACACCAACGAAUGGGAUCAUUAAUCCCUCAUCCUAUGACUUCUCUUAUAAUCAUGCUAAGAUAACUUUGACGUUAAGAGUUUAUCGAAAAACAAAGAAAAAUUCUUAGUUCAUCCAUACCCAAGUUUACCUCAAAAUAUAACAACUAAUAAUGAAAAAAUAGUAUUUAAUUUUAAUCCAAAAUAAUUGAGUGACAUUCAAUUCUUGUAAGUUCCGAUUGAGAACUUCCUCGCUAACUCGAUAUUGUAUGGCGAGGGGUUAAAUGGAAAUUAUUCAAUGAAGUCGAUUUCUGCAGCCCCUUAAUCUCAACUUACGUUCGGUGUAAGAAUAGAAAUCAUGCUAGGCGCGACAGCAACUUUCACGUUUCGCCAUUCGUUGAUAGGUGUCAUAGCUACGGUCUGAUCUAUCGCGUCGUUUAGAACCUUCAUGCCUGUGGCCUGAGAAACUCUUAUGGAUCCCAGAUACUGCGCCGGCAGUACCUUCUUUGGCUCUUCCAUCGGCGUUGGAAAGGAUUGUGCUGGGAACAGAUCGAUACACAAUUAAUCUUCUGACGCAACGAAACCUCCAAUCCUGUUCUAUCAGGAACAAUCAAUCAUUAAGACGUUUCGUGCCACGGAAAUUUUGGUCAUAUUUUGUUAAUGAACUCUAUUGAUUUUUAAAAUAAAAUAUUAAAUUAUAUUCACGUUUUCGGUCAUUUUUAUAUAUUUCGAUAUUCUUUCUUUAUAUUUUGGGUGUUUUGUAACGUAUACCACUCUUGAUAGACUCAAAAAUAUUUUCUUAUAAAAAUUGACGUGUACCAUAUUUGGUACAUAUGGACUGAACGUAAAAAGUAACGUCAAGGAUAUUGUUACUUUUAUCCAUUUCAAGUGCAACGUUUGAACGAUUUCGAUUACCCAAGCACUGGUUCGAUCUUUGCAAUAUCGAUCACUUACUGACUAGCCCUUGGCCAUUUCUAUGGAAGCGUCGGUGUUCCGUGGGCAAGUUGGUGGGUCUCGUGGCGAGGUUCGUUCGCCCGUUGAUGUCUACAGGCUUCGCCAGGUUCUGGUGUUGCGACCGCUCGAUCAUGAUCUU
Molecule: non-coding RNA, 2687 nt
Organism: Nomia melanderi (Alkali bee)
Lineage: Eukaryota; Metazoa; Arthropoda; Insecta; Hymenoptera; Halictidae
Source: RefSeq, a predicted model, not a curated record